CCCCCGCCGCCGCCCACAACUACCCAUCGCCACCGACCGCCCUCCACGUUGACCACUGCCACCGACUAGCCUCCGCCCCAACCACUGCUGCCAUCGCCCUCACCCACCGCACCCCGCCCAACCACCUCACAGCAGCACCGCCGAGCACCCAACUGACAUGGACAACCACCGGCGCCGACCGGCCCGUCGUCGAGCCACUCCACCGCCGACCCGUCUCCUCUGCCGGGCGCCUUCCAUUGCUACAUCGCGAGCUUCCUCCCCCGAGCAGGCCUCUCCCCAUACUCGCAGUGGUGAGAUACAAAGAUGGGAGAGGAUGCGGCACAAGGAAGCCCUUGGUAUGUUCAGAUGAGCAAGGAUGGCUCCCCUUACCUUAGGAAAGUGGACCUCAAGAUGUAUUCUAGCCACGACAGCCUCCAAUUGUUAGUGUUUGAUCCCAUGGUAUUUCCUUGUGUUUGGACAUUACAGCUACAGUUUUAGAUAUACAAUGUUCUCUUGGGUCCUAACUGCUUCCAAGAAUGUUGUUAUAAUUUAUGGAUGCAGUCUUGAUGCUUAGAAGGACUAAUUUCUCAGGGGAUGAUACACCUUCAAGUUGAUGUAAGCACAAAAUCACGUUGGGAUGGCAACCUCCAUUAAUUUAUAUCAGCAUGAAUUAGAUAUCACCAAUGGAACCUUGCCUGCAGUUUCACAUGCUGAUUAAUUAUACUUUAGUUGGAUACUAAUGCCACGUGAUCUUGUAGUUUAACUCUGUGUGUAUCUAUAAUCUAUUUCUUAUCAUUUUUCUGGAAUGAUUCUGGCUAAGUUUCUAUUUCAAUGAAACAACGGAUUAAAUAAAAUGUUUGAUUUCAUCAACGGUUCAUGUUAAGCUAAACACUAAUAUUUGAUAUAGACUUAAGUAUCAAUACACCCAAGCAAACGUAUCGGGUAUACCUUUAGCAAUUAGAUAACUGAGGUUGUCGUAUAAGAAAAUAAUUUUCACAUAUUUUUUUUCUACUACCACUGCUUCUCAGCCUUAUCAUGUGCAAUUUACAUAAGUUAUCAGCUUAUCGGAAAAUGUUGGUGGCGGUGGACUGGGGGAAAUACUAUGUGUAGCAACGACAAGCUCGCCCUAAAUGUGUUGCUCGCUGAGCCCUAUCGCUGUAGCAGCUCUCGUCCUCUACUUCCUUGUCCUAACCAGGGCAUUUGAUAGGUGAGAUUUGUUUGCUGACUUUUUUUUUAUUCAGUGUCUAGCAGUUUUAGUCAUGUGAUGUUGUGUACUAACCUAAAGCUUCGAUUGGCGGAAAGCUGGCCAGAUUAUCUGGAAUAUUAUUUGUAUUCUUUACUAAUCCGCUUCUCAGGACAUGACCCAGUUUCUCAUUCAUUGGCUGGUUUCUGUUGUAGUCAUUUAGUUGCUUUGUUCAUGUGGUUGUAAGAUGUUUAAACUGUUGGGCGCCAUAACCUGUUGGUUCUUGCUUGCAAUUGUCGUUGCAGUGCUGGAGGAAAGAGUGGGUGAAGAUCAUGCUGGAAUGAGUUUUUAAUCCUGCUUGAAUCAUAUGAAGAAAUUUCUGUUGUUUUUUGUCUGUAAAGCUACAAAUAUGUUUCGGGGGAGCAGGUUGUUGGGUGGCUGCCUGUUGGGAGCUACCGGAAGAACAAACAGCCCGCCAAUGCCACAGAGACCAAGGCGGAGAACAAAGGUAGAAGCGAGGCAGGAUGGUGCUAUGUCAAGGUCAGCAUGAAUGGAGCCCCAUACCUAAGGAAGGUCGACCUCAAGACUUAACUCGAGCUAUUACCUAGAGCUUGAGAAGAUGUUCAGCUGCUUCGUUGUUUCUAGAUGUUUCUCAAAGAUACACAAGUUGCUGGAGGUUUGGAAGAUCUACAAGUUGGUGCAGUCAUAAUAUAUAUGUAAUAUGCCUUGUUUGUUGAACCUGGAGAUAUUGCAAAGUUUUACUCUGCUUAUUUUGGUGGUUGUUUUUGCACACAAACCACUAUAUCCUCAUUUUGCUUGUGUGCCACAGUUUUUAUUAUCUUGAAACAGAUGUACAUAUGUAUUUGGUCUGUUUAUGAUAUUGAAUGAGGCCUUAUAUAUAACUUUGAUUGAACAGCA
Molecule: RNA transcript, 2080 nt
Organism: Aegilops tauschii subsp. strangulata
Lineage: Eukaryota; Viridiplantae; Streptophyta; Magnoliopsida; Poales; Poaceae
Source: RefSeq, a predicted model, not a curated record